Caenorhabditis elegans is the source of this 150-nucleotide non-coding RNA. Lineage: Eukaryota; Metazoa; Nematoda; Chromadorea; Rhabditida; Rhabditidae. The record is from Ensembl.
CUAAGGGAAUAUAAGCAAUAAGCUGGAGGGAAAUGUUAAUUUAUGCAAAUUCAUUCAAUUAACUAAAAGAAAGAAUUUUCGUCCGAGUAGCGUUCUGAGAGAAGGCGGCAUGAUUGAUGGGUUUAGGAACCCAGGAUAAGUCAAAUAAAA